This 76-nucleotide transfer RNA is filed under the name Pseudomonadota bacterium. Its description in RNAcentral is "tRNA-Gly". It matches the Rfam family "tRNA". Rfam says of the family: Transfer RNA (tRNA) molecules are approximately 80 nucleotides in length. Their secondary structure includes four short double-helical elements and three loops (D, anti-codon, and T loops). Further hydrogen bonds mediate the characteristic L-shaped molecular structure. tRNAs have two regions of fundamental functional importance: the anti-codon, which is responsible for specific mRNA codon recognition, and the 3' end, to which the tRNAs corresponding amino acid is attached (by aminoacyl-tRNA synthetases). tRNAs cope with the degeneracy of the genetic code in two manners: having more than one tRNA (with a specific anti-codon) for a particular amino acid; and 'wobble' base-pairing, i.e. permitting non-standard base-pairing at the 3rd anti-codon position. Lineage: Bacteria; Pseudomonadati; Pseudomonadota. RNAcentral also lists the same sequence under 2 other names. The record is from RNAcentral.
GCGGGCGUAAUUCAGCAGCUAGAAUGCCACCUUGCCAAGGUGGAAGUCGAGGGUGCGAAUCCCUUCGCCCGCUCCA